Molecule: ribosomal RNA, 460 nt
Filed under: uncultured bacterium
Lineage: Bacteria
Description: partial 16S ribosomal RNA
Rfam family: Bacterial small subunit ribosomal RNA
Source: RNAcentral
CCUACGGGCGGCAGCAGUGAGGAAUAUUGGUCAAUGGACGAGAGUCUGAACCAGCCAAGUAGCGUGAAGGAUGACUGCCCUAUGGGUUGUAAACUUCUUUUAUAUGGGAAUAAAAUGUUCCACGUGUGGGAUUUUGUAUGUACCAUAUGAAUAAGGAUCGGCUAACUCCGUGCCAGCAGCCGCGGUAAUACGGAGGAUCCGAGCGUUAUCCGGAUUUAUUGGGUUUAAAGGGAGCGUAGGUGGAUUGUUAAGUCAGUUGUGAAAGUUUGCGGCUCAACCGUAAAAUUGCAGUUGAAACUGGCAGUCUUGAGUACAGUAGAGGUCGGCGGAAUGCGUGGUGUAGCGGUGAAAUGCUUAGAUAUCACGAAGAACUCCGAUUGCGAAGGCAGUUCACUGGACUGCAACUGACACUGAGGCUCGAAAGUGUGGGUAUCAAACAGGAUUAGAUACCCGUGUAGUC